This 666-nucleotide ribosomal RNA is filed under the name Ligilactobacillus salivarius. RNAcentral describes it as "bacterial SSU rRNA". It matches the Rfam family "Bacterial small subunit ribosomal RNA", at positions 38 to 668 of the family's 1533-position model. Lineage: Bacteria; Bacillati; Bacillota; Bacilli; Lactobacillales; Lactobacillaceae. The record is from RNAcentral.
GGCGGCGUGCCUAAUACAUGCAAGUCGAACGAAACUUUCUUACACCGAAUGCUUGCAUUCACCGUAAGAAGUUGAGUGGCGGACGGGUGAGUAACACGUGGGUAACCUGCCUAAAAGAAGGGGAUAACACUUGGAAACAGGUGCUAAUACCGUAUAUCUCUAAGGAUCGCAUGAUCCUUAGAUGAAAGAUGGUUCUGCUAUCGCUUUUAGAUGGACCCGCGGCGUAUUAACUAGUUGGUGGGGUAACGGCCUACCAAGGUGAUGAUACGUAGCCGAACUGAGAGGUUGAUCGGCCACAUUGGGACUGAGACACGGCCCAAACUCCUACGGGAGGCAGCAGUAGGGAAUCUUCCACAAUGGACGCAAGUCUGAUGGAGCAACGCCGCGUGAGUGAAGAAGGUCUUCGGAUCGUAAAACUCUGUUGUUAGAGAAGAACACGAGUGAGAGUAACUGUUCAUUCGAUGACGGUAUCUAACCAGCAAGUCACGGCUAACUACGUGCCAGCAGCCGCGGUAAUACGUAGGUGGCAAGCGUUGUCCGGAUUUAUUGGGCGUAAAGGGAACGCAGGCGGUCUUUUAAGUUCUGAUGUGAAAGCCUUCGGCUUAACCCGGAGUAGUGGCAUUGGGAAACUGGAAGACUUGAGUGCAGAAGAGGGAGAGUGGAACU